GUAUUUUACAAGAGGCUAUUUGUUUCAUACGCAGAGUCAUGGAGCAGGACGUAAGACUUGUAACUAUGGUGUAUGUGUGAAAGGUGAAAAUUAUACGGAUGCAUCUGACGCAGCAGAUUUUUACGGCAACUUAACUGAUAUCAUAGAACUUGAGUAUGAGGGGGUGGUCAGUUUGAAAAUCACACUUUUUAAAUGUUCGUGGUAUGACCCUAAGCUCGGAAGAGGUACUCGGAGGAGCAAUAGUGGUGUUGUCGACGUUCUUUCAUCGAGGAAAUAUAACAAAUACGAACCCUUUAUUUUAGGUACGUAUGGUAUAUAUAUAUGGUCAUUUAGUUUUUCUAGUUCAUAUACAAAUAUCUAAUUCUCCAAAUAUGGUGCAUUUACAAACAACAUCUCAAGCGGAACUAGUGUGCUUUAUUCCUUAUCCAUACACGAAAAAACCAAAGCGGGAGUUGCUCAAUGUUUUAAAAGUAAAUCCAAGGGGAAACAUAUUAGGAGAAUAUGAAAAUAAAGACCCGAGUUUAUUGCAAACAGAAAAUGAUGAUGCUGUUUUAAUAACAACAAUAGAAGAUCUUGUACUCGACAAUUUGACAAUCAAUCGCAACCCCAUAAACCUCGAUUUAGAUGCCGGAGAUGCUGAUCCAGAAGAUGAAUUUCGAUGUAAUUUAUCGUCUUCUGAUGAUGAAGAACAACAAGACGAAGAAUAAUAUUAGUUUUGUGUUUAUGAUAUGUACAUAAGUUAUUUUGAAAUACUAUGCAAACAUUUUUAAA
This 771-nucleotide small RNA is filed under the name Arabidopsis thaliana (thale cress). RNAcentral's name for it is "ATSL175560". The record is from RNAcentral. Lineage: Eukaryota; Viridiplantae; Streptophyta; Magnoliopsida; Brassicales; Brassicaceae.